CGAUUUUCUUGAACUUCAGCGGAUAAUUAUGUGAUUUUCUUGAAAUUCAGCUGAUAAUUAUGUGAUUUUCUUGAAAUUCAGUUGAUAAUAUUGUGAUUUUCUUGAACUAGCUGAUAAUGAUGUCGUUUUCUUGAACUCCAGCUGUGGUUUUCUUGAACCUGAACUGAUAAUAUUGCGAUUUUCUUAAACCUCAACCGAUAAUGAUGUGAUUUUCUUGAACUUCUGGUGACAUGAUGUGAUUUUCUUGAAAUUCAGCUGAUAAUGAUGUGAUUUUCUUGAACUUCAGCUGAUAAUGAUGUGAUUUUCUUGAACUUCAGCUGAUAAUAUUGCGAUUGUCUUAAACCUUAACCAUCCUAUAAUAUAGCUGCUGAGUGCUGAAUGUACUGGUAUCAUUGUUACUUCAUUUACUUGUACUUGUGCACUAAUUUCAGGUAGUUGUACAUCCACAUUGGUGAUUAUGGACAAAGACCAGGUAACCUUACUCUCUUGACUCUUCAUCUUGUAUUGUAUGUUUGAGAGUGUAGUGUCUCCUGGUCAAAGGUAUCAAGAAACUUACCUAAGACAUAUAUGAAGGCAGUGGAUGGAAUAAUUAAUAGUAUUUUCAUUGAUUUUUGACAGCCUUUCUGUUUAUUAUUGUGUUAUUGGACAUGGAAGUGUCUGUCUGCGGUACUGCCUUUUAGAUAAAAACUUGCUGGGUUUUGUAUGAUUGCAGAGUCAAAACCAAAGAGGUUUGUGUAUUUCAAAAUUCAUUCAUCCAUUCUUCUGUUGGUUCAAUCUAGCAAUAUGUGACUUUGCUAAUCCAUGUUCUGAACAUACCUUUCCUUUGAUUCUUCUCAAUGUGGGGGUUCAUCUCCUGGUAUUCAAGUCUUUGUUCCACCUCUGACUAAUUCUGAUGCGAAGAUUGUGUCCUUGAGGAUAUUUCAUAUCCUUCAGUGCCAAAGCACACCUUUCAGGCUUUUCAGGUUCUUCGUGCAUAUUGGUGAUGUUUUAUGUCAAGAAACCUGUUUCUCUUUUCUCUCAGUUCCCUAUCUACUGCAUAAAAUUCUAAAAUCUUGAUGCAAUUUCUUAAUCGGUGAUGGUAAUGGUAUGUUUCUUGAAAUUAUUCCAUGUUUCUCUUCAUCCAUCACGUUCAUCUUCUUUCUAUUUAAUACUCCAUUUUGUUGAUAAAUGAUAAUAGUCCAUUUUGAACAGAUGUUUACAUCGAAGAAAGAAGAUGCCAAAAUAGAAAAAGUAAUUCGACUUCCUGCAAAUCGAAGAUGCAUCAACUGCAAUGUCUUGGUAAUAUUUUCUGUAUUCAUGAACCUCAACUUACCCUAGAAUUUGUGAAAUAUAUAUAAUUUUGUUUAAAUUGAAUCAGGGACUACAAUAUGUGUGUACAACUUUCAACACCUUUGUCUGCAUAAAUUGCAGUGGAAUACAGUAUGCAUUACAAAUCUCAACUUCUUCUAUAUAUGUUUUAUAUGCAUUACAAAGUGACAUCGUUUUACUACAAGGUUUUAGCAAUAGGUUCCUCUUUUCUUUUGUUUUUGUCAAUUUGUGUCACUAAUCGUAAUUGAUGAUAGAAACUGGAUCAUGACGGGUAGAAUUAUGUCGCUGAUGAAAUUUUUAGCACAAAGUACAUGUAAGCUCUUUUUUUAAAGGUGGGGAUGUUGGUGCUGUUAGACUUGCAAGUAAAUUUCCCUCUAUCCUUUGUGGAUUCCUCCUAUUAUUCUUAUCCAUAAGCACAACAUUUAUUUUAAUGCAGAAUAAUGAGCAAAUUAUUUUGUUUUGCAGCUAGAAUAAAAACUGCAGAAAAUGCAGAAUAAGCUAGAGAGUCUAAUAUGGGAUCAGAAGGAACUUCAAGAACGUUUCCAAAUGGUUGUUAAAGAACACAAAAUGAUGGAGUUGCUACUAACGGAGCUUGAAGAGGAGCAUGAUAUGGCCAUUGCAAAAAUUGAAAAAUUACAGACAAAGGUAAAUUAUUUUGUAUUCGUGUGCAUACCUUGUACUAUCUUCUUAUAUAUCUAUUGAACUAUUAACAUGAUCUGAAUGUUGGAAGUUAUCACUUGCUUCAUGCCACCUGUGAAAAGUCUUCUAGUGUUGAGGUCACGUAUGAUAUUUUGCUGCAAGAAGGACGGCUUGUUAAAUUCCCUACUUCAUUUACUUGUACUUGUGCACUAAUUUCAGGUAGUUGUACAUCCACAUUGGUGAUUAUGGACAAAGACCAGGUAACCUUACUCUCUUGACUCUUCAUCUUGUAUUAAGUUUACAUUAAUUUAUAGACUAGCUUCUGGUUGACAUUAUAGGUUGCCAAACUGAUAAACAAUGAACAAUAUGUUUAGUAGAAAUUAUAAUCAGAACUACUGUCUUUUUCUUGCCAGAAAUUGAAGUCAGUAUUCACAAGUAUUAUUCGUCUGGUGGACUUGGGGAAUUAAUAAGGAGAAAUCCAAGAUCAACCAAUCUCUUCCAAAAGCAAUAUGAUUUAUUAGUAGAAACUGUUACCCAUAUUUCUGUCAUUUUUCUGAAGUUGGCAUCAGCUCCAUGGGAUUGAAAACUUGUCCUGAAACUUGCUGAAGAUGCCAUGCGUUCAAGAUAUGACCAAAGAUUAUGAAAAAUAGAUGUUGGGUAACAUUUUCUUGAAUAUGCUAAAAUUAUUUGUUUUUGUUUGUUUCCUACCGAUUCUGGUUACCUUUACUAUCAUUGUUUUGCCCAGUUUUCUGCUUGCUUUGUCAGGUAGAAUUUAAGUUUCUGUAAUUGCUUCCAUGUACAGGAAGGUUUUCUUGAUAUUGUGCUUUUUUUCUUAGCACACAAGAAUUGAGUUAUGGAAUGUGAUGGUAAUGGUAUGUUUCUUGAAAUUAUUCCAUGUUUCUCUUCAUCCAUCACGUUCAUCUUCUUUCUAUUUAAUACUCCAUUUUGUUGAUAAAUGAUAAUAGUCCAUUUUGAACAGAUGUUUACAUCGAAGAAAGAAGAUGCCAAAAUCGAAAAAGUAAUUCGACUUCCUGCAAAUUGAAGAUGCAUCAACUGCAAUGUCUUGGUAACAUUUUCUGUAUUCAUGAACCUCAACUUACCCUAGAAUUUGUGAAAUAUAGAUAAUUUUGUUUAAAUUGAAUCAGGGACUACAAUAUGUGUGUACAACUUUCAACACCUUUGUCUGCAUAAAUUGCAGUGGAAUACAGUAUGCAUUACAAAUCUCAACUUCUUCUAUAUAUGUUUUAUAUGCAUUACAAAGUGACAUCGUUUUACUACAAGGUUUUAGCAAUAGGUUCCUCUUUUCUUUUGUUUUUGUCAAUUUGUGUCACUAAUCGUAAUUGAUGAUAGUUACAUCAUCACGUGUUUUUCCUUCUAAUUUCUCUCAAUUUUUUAUCUCAUCCAAGAAACCUGUCUCUCUUUUCUCUCAGUUCUCUAUCUACUGCAUGAAAUCCUAAAAUCAUGAUGCAAUUUCUUACUCUGUGAUGGUAAAGAAACAUAUUAUGCCAUGUUGCUUAAGCUAAUAAUGAAACAUGAAAUAGAGAAUGAAAGAGAGAGGUUUUUGUAGUGUUUCCAAUCCUUUUCUCUCUCAAUUUUCAUUAUUCUGCAUGAAUUCCUAAAAUUCUCGAGGCAAAUUCUCAUUAUCUGAUAAUGACGUGAUAUUCUUGAAUUUCAGCUGAUAACGAAAUGCGAGAAAGAGAUAGAUUUUGAAUUAUUCAUGCCUUACAGAUAAGCAAUGCUGCUGAGAUCUGUUCAUAAGAGUUAUGAUGUAUAAAUUUUAAUUAGCAAUACUUUUUAACUACAAUUUUCUUCAUAUUUAUCGUGAUACUUAAUGUCUUGUACUCUUUUUUAACACAUCUAUUCUCUUGUUGUUCAGGAUACCCACUUGAUAAUGUUAGGCAUUUGAUAAAGGAUUGAGAUUGGCCACUGACAAUUACAAUAUGAGCAAUAAGAUUGGGCGAGAAGGUUUUGGAACUGUUUUCCGGGUACACCUCACAGUUCUUGUAUAAGUUGUAAACUUUUGGGAUUAAUAUGUAUGUUAGCCAGUUGAACUUGCCAAAAUGAUUCUUUAGAGGAGUUUAUGAUAGUAGACCGACUAAUAUUUGUUACUUUUAUUUUUCUUCCUAUCUUUCUGUGAUUCUGAGUUAAGAUUGUUCAGAGUUUUGGGUGAUGUUUUUCUGAUUUAGGUGCAGGGAAUGCUUCAAUUGUAUGAGAUAAAUUCUAAAAUGAAAAUUUGUUCAUCUCCACUUUAUACCCCCUCCCCACACCAGGUCAUAUUCCUUUGGGACAACAUAAAAGUUGGUGGGCUAUAAAAGUUGAAAUGACAAUGCUAGGCAAAGCAGGGACACCCACCCCACUUGUUACACCAACUUUUCUAUUCUUCUUUUGCAUAUCACUAACUUCUUUAGCAUAAAGUUGAGCAAAAAUUAAAAAAAGUGAUCCCUUUGAUUUCUCUGCUAUGUUAAUAUCUUUUGCAACUAAAGACAAUAUCAUUGGAUGAUAAUAUUGCGAUUUUCUUGAACUUCAGCUGAUAAUGAUGUGGUUUUCUUGAACCUGAACAGAUAAUAUUGCGAUUUUCUUAAACCUCAACUGAUAAUGAUGUGAUUUUCUUGAACUUCUGGUGGCAUGAUGUGAUUUUCUUGAACUUCUGUUGAUAAUGAUGUGAUUUUCUUGAACUUCAGCUGAUAAUAUUGCAAUUUUCUUAAACCUCAACUGAUAGGAUGAGUAUUGCAUGCAAGAUGAAUGGUUG
Molecule: long non-coding RNA, 4696 nt
Filed under: Lupinus angustifolius (narrow-leaved blue lupine)
Lineage: Eukaryota; Viridiplantae; Streptophyta; Magnoliopsida; Fabales; Fabaceae
Description: long non-coding RNA (LANG_LNC000938)
Source: RNAcentral